GGCUCGAGGACGAACGCUGGCGGCGUGCCUAACACAUGCAAGUCGAGCGAGGAGAUCCUCGGGAUGAUCCUAGCGGCGGACGGGUGAGUAACACGUGGGCAACCUGCCUCAUAGAGAGGAAUAGCCUUCCGAAAGGGAGAUUAAUACCUCAUAACAUUGCAGUUUCGCAUGGAACAGCAAUUAAAGGAGUAAUCCGCUAUGAGAUGGGCCCGCGGCGCAUUAGCUAGUUGGUGAGGUAACGGCUCACCAAGGCGACGAUGCGUAGCCGACCUGAGAGGGUGAUCGGCCACAUUGGGACUGAGACACGGCCCAGACUCCUACGGGAGGCAGCAGUGGGGAAUAUUGCACAAUGGGGGAAACCCUGAUGCAGCCAACGCCGCGUGAGUGAUGACGGCCUUCGGGUUGUAAAGCUCUGUCUUCAGGGACGAUAAUGACGGUACCUGAGGAGGAAGCCACGGCUAACUACGUGCCAGCAGCAGC
This 480-nucleotide ribosomal RNA is filed under the name uncultured bacterium. RNAcentral's name for it is "bacterial SSU rRNA". It matches the Rfam family "Bacterial small subunit ribosomal RNA", at positions 26 to 518 of the family's 1533-position model. The record is from RNAcentral.